Molecule: ribosomal RNA, 465 nt
Filed under: uncultured bacterium
Lineage: Bacteria
Description: partial 16S ribosomal RNA
Rfam family: Bacterial small subunit ribosomal RNA
Source: RNAcentral
AAUCAACGCUGGCGGCGUGCCUCAGACAUGCAAGUCGAACGAUUAAACUUCCCUUCGGGGAAGAUAUACAGUGGCGCACGGGUGAGUAACACGUAGGUAAUGUACCUUUGGGUGGGGAAUAACUUAGGGAAACUUAAGCUAAUACCGCAUAAUGCAGCGGCUCCUUCGGGAGACAGUUGUUAAAGAUUUAUCGCCUAAAGAGCAGCCUGCGGCAGAUUAGCUAGUUGGUAAGGUAACGGCUUACCAAGGCUACGAUCUGUAUCCGACCUGAGAGGGUGGUCGGACACACUGACACUGAAUAACGGGUCAGACUCCUACGGGAGGCAGCAGUCGGGAAUGUUGGGCAAUGGGCGAAAGCCUGACCCAGCAACGCCGCGUGAAGGAUGAAGUCUUUCGGGAUGUAAACUUCGUAAGAAUAGGAAGAAUAAAUGACGGUACUAUUUGUAAGGUCCGGCUAACUACGUG